GACGAACGCUGGCGGCGUGCUUAACACAUGCAAGUCGAACGGACAGACCAUGCUCUUGUGGGUUGCUCGAUUGGGGAACGCGUGAGUGACACGUGAGUAACCUGCCCUUGACUGUGGGAUAACUUCAGGAAAAUGGGGCUAAUACCGGAUAGGAGCUCCUGCUGCGUGGUGUGAGUUGGAAAGAUUCGGCGGUUGGGGCUGGACUCGCGGGUUAUCAGCUUGUUGGUGGGGUAGUGGCUUACCACGGCUUCGAAGGGUAGCCGGCCUGGGAGGGUGACCGGCCACCUGAGGACUAAGAUACGGCGCAGACUGCAACGGGAGGCAGCAGUGGGGAAUAUGGCGGAACGGGCGGAAGCCUGAUACAACAGCGCUGCGUGCGGGAUGACGGCUUUCUGGUUGUAAACAAAUUUCGCAGGAGACGAAGCCGGAGUGACGGUACUGGAUAAAAAAGCACCGGCUAACUACGUG
This 468-nucleotide ribosomal RNA is filed under the name uncultured bacterium. RNAcentral's name for it is "partial 16S ribosomal RNA". It matches the Rfam family "Bacterial small subunit ribosomal RNA", at positions 28 to 507 of the family's 1533-position model. The record is from RNAcentral.